Oncorhynchus tshawytscha (Chinook salmon) is the source of this 2792-nucleotide long non-coding RNA. The record is from Ensembl. Lineage: Eukaryota; Metazoa; Chordata; Actinopteri; Salmoniformes; Salmonidae.
UUCCAAAUAUGUUAAUGCAACCAUCAGUAUUUUCCAGUAAUUACAAAAUCAGUCAUUUUUAAUAGUUGUUCCUUAUUAACAACAAAUCAUUAUAACACAAAUGUUGAUCAACCAUCAGAGCAAAGACAGAUUCAUUUGCAGCACAUCAGACAGUUUGCUUGAUAGACAAGCACUGGCUGCAACAAUCAGGAAAGAACAGUCGGAGAGGCAUUUUUGUAAACUUGGGUCCAUUGGUCACAUAAUAUAUUUCAGAUUUCAAACACCCCUGGGAAGACGUACAGUGAAACAGUAUUUGCCCCCUUUCUGAUUUUUCUCUACUGUUGCAUAUUUUUAUACUGACUGUUAGCAGGUCUUCAACCAAAACCUAAUAUUAGAUAAAGGGAACCUGAGUUUACAAAGAACAGUCAUUUUAUUUAUUUAAUUAACAAAUGGGACCCAUGUCAUCCCAAAAAUUAUACUUUUCAAUCAUCUGUCCAUAGAACAUUCUUCCAGAAGUCUUGAUGAUCGUCAUUUUGGCAAACUUGAGUAAACUUUUUGGACAUGGGUUCCAUUAUGGGGUGGCAGGUAGCCUAGUGGUUAGAGCGUUGGGCCAGUAACCAGCAGGUAGCCUAGUGGUUAGAGCGUUGGGCCAGUAACCAGCAGGUAGCCUAGUGGUUAGAGCGUUGGGCCAGUAAUCAGCAGGUAGCCUAGUGGUUAGAGCGUUGGGCCAGUAAUCAGCAGGUAGCCUAGUGGUUAGAGCGUUGGGCCAGUAAUCAGCAGGUAGCCUAGUGGUUAGAGCGUUGGGCCAGUAACCAGCAGGUAGCCUAGUGGUUAGAGCAUUGGACCAGUAACCAGCAGGUAGCCUAGUGGUUAGAGCAUUGGGCCAGUAACCAGCAGGUAGCCUAGUGGUUAGAGCGUUGGGCCAGUAACCAGCAGGUAGCCUAGUGGUUAGAGCGUUGGGCCAGUAAUCAGCAGGUAGCCUAGUGGUUAGAGCGUUGGGCCAGUAACCAGCAGGUAGCCUAGUGGUUAGAGCGUUGGGCCAGUAACCAGCAGGUAGCCUAGUGGUUAGAGCGUUGGGCCAGUAACCAGCAGGUAGCCUAGUGGUUAGAGCGUUGGGCCAGUAACCAGCAGGUAGCCUAGUGGUUAGAGCGUUGGGCCAGUAACCAGCAGGUAGCCUAGUGGUUAGAGUGUUGGGUCAGUAACCAGCAGGUAGCCUAGUGGUUAGAGCGUUGGACCAGUAACCAGCAGGUAGCCUAGUGGUUAGAGCGUUGGACCAGUAACCAGCAGGUAGCCUAGUGGUUAGAGCAUUGGGCCAGUAACCAGCAGGUAGCCUAGUGGUUAGAGCAUUGGACCAGUAACCAGCAGGUAGCCUAGUGGUUAGAGCGUUGGGCCAGUAACCAGCAGGUUGCUAGAUUGAACACCCGAGCUGACAAGGUAUAAAUCUGUCAUUCUGUCCCUGAACAAGGCAGUUAACCCACUGUUUCUUGGCCGUCGUUUAAAAUAAGAAUUUGUUCUUAACUGACUUGCCUGGUUAAACAAAAUUGUUUUUAUGCCUGGCAAAAACUAAACACUGCAUUCCACAGUAAGAACCUCAUACCAACGGUCAAGCAUGGUGGUGGCAGUGUGAUGGUUUGGGGUCAGCAUGGUGGUGGUAGUGUGAUGGUUUGGGGUCAGCAUGGUGGUGGUAGUGGGAUGGUUUGGGGUCAGCAUGGUGGUGGUAGUGUGAUGGUUUGGGGUCAGCAUGGUGGUGGUAGUGUGAUGGUUUGGGGUCAGCAUGGUGGUGGCAGUGUGAUGGUUUGGGGAUGCUUUGCUACCUCAGGACCUGGACGACUUGCCUUAAUAGUAGGGAACCAUGAAUUCUGCUCUGUAUCAGAGAAUUCUACAGGAGGAUGUCAGGCCGUCCGUCUGUGAGCUGAAACUGAAGUGCAGCUGGGUCAUGCAGCAAGAUAAUGAUUAAAAACACAAGUCUACAUAAAAAUGGCUAAAGAGCAACACAUUUGAAGAUUGGAAUGGCCUAGUCAAAGUUUAGACCUAAUCCCUAGUCCCAAUUGAGAUGUUGUGGCAGGACUUGAAAAGAGCAUUUCAUGCUUGAAAACCCACACAUUGCUGAAUUAAAGCAGUUCCGCAUGGAAGAGUGGGACAGAAUUCCUCCACAGCGACGUGAGAGACUGAUCAACAACUACAGGAAGUGUUUGGUUGGAGUCGUUGCAGCUAAAGGUGGACUGAUCAACAACUACAGGAAGUGUUUGGUUGGAGUCGUUGCAGCUAAAGGUGGACUGAUCAACAACUACAGGAAGUGUUUGGUUGGAGUCGUUGCAGCUAAAGGUGGACUGAUCAACAACUACAGGAAGUGUUUGGUUGGAGUCGUUGCAGCUAAAGGUGGACUGAUCAACAACUACAGGAAGUGUUUGGUUGGAGUCGUUGCAGCUGAAGGAGGCACAACCAGUUAUUGAGUAUAAGGGGACAAUCACUUUUUCACACAGGGGAAUUUGGUGUUGCAUAACUUUGUUUAUGAAAUAAAUUAAAUAAAGAAUGUAAUUGUUGUGUUAUUUGUUCACUCAGGUUUCCUUUAUCUAAUAUUAGGUUUUGGUUGAAGAUCUGAUAACAUUCAGUGUCAAAAAUAUGCAAAAGAAGAGAAAACUAAAAAGGGGGAAAAUACUUUAUCACGGGAACAACGGCCACUAAAACACCCUUCUACCAUAGUAAAACACCCUUCUACCAUAGUAAAACACCCUUCUACCAUAGUAAAACACCUUUCUACCAUAGUAAAACACCCUUCUACCAUAGUAAAACACCCUUCUACCAUAGUAAAA